Molecule: long non-coding RNA, 896 nt
Organism: Talpa occidentalis (Iberian mole)
Lineage: Eukaryota; Metazoa; Chordata; Mammalia; Eulipotyphla; Talpidae
Exons: 3
Source: RefSeq, a predicted model, not a curated record
CUCUGACAAGCAACUGCCACAACUGAAAAAUUGCAGUUACUGGGCUCUGAGGAGCAACUGCCACAACUGACUUUUGGUGGAGUUGUAGGUUGAAAACACCACUGCUCCUGCUGGCUCCCACCACUGAGGCAGCUGGGUUCCGGUAACAACCCUUUUCAUUAAAGUCAUGAUAGGCAGGAUAAAGCGGGACAGGCUUGGUGCAGUGGGUUUUAUUGAUGAUGCAGAAGCUGAAGCAUCUGAUGAAUGCUGCUGUCAGCAGAAUGAGGACAGAAGAGACCAGGCCACUGCUGGGAUCAACUUUCCAAAUGAUAAUGAGACUUCAAGACAAAGAACUCCAAUGAGAGUCUAACAAAGGUGAAAUGAAUUCUUCAGAUGAAAGACAAUCAACAGAUGUCAUUCAAGAGUGGACCACAGGAACUUCCCUACUAAGCCCAAGAACUUUCCCAAUUCCAUUUAUUGUUCUACAGACUAGCAAAGCAGCAUGAACUAACAAAGUAGCAUGAUUGACUUAGUACCACAGUGAAUGAAACAGUGUUUGAAGACAUGGACAACGGUGACUUACUCAGACAACUAGCUGCCCAUGUUUACGUUCAGGCACCUACAUUUGUGACGUUGCAUUCCUAAAAUGAAUGAUGCACUUUCCUUAUUGUACUCAAAGUAGCCCAGCCCGACAGUGCCACCAUAAUGAACAAUGCUUCAUUUACCAAAUUCAGUGGAAAGCUAGUGCAGAUUGGGUGCUAUCAAAAAAAGGAGGAAAUAACAAAAAUGUGUAAGGGAGAGAAAGAGUAAAAGCUAUGAUCAAUACACCAAAAUGGAAACUUCUAAAAUGGAAUAAUUAGAUGCAUAUAUUAUUUAGGAAAAUCAGACCAGGAUUAUUAAUAAAACAAACUGUGAAU